CCUACGGGAGGCAGCAGUGGGGAAUAUUGCACAAUGGGGGAAACCCUGAUGCAGCGACGCCGCGUGAGUGAAGAAGUAUUUCGGUAUGUAAAGCUCUAUCAGCAGGGAAGAAGAAAGACGGUACCUGACUAAGAAGCCCCGGCUAACUACGUGCCAGCAGCCGCGGUAAUACGUAGGGGGCAAGCGUUAUCCGGAUUUACUGGGUGUAAAGGGAGCGUAGACGGAGAAGCGAGUCUGAAGUGAAAGCCCGGGGCUUAACCACGGGACUGCUUUGGAAACUGUUUGACUAGAGUGCUGGAGAGGUAAGUGGAAUUCCUAGUGUAGCGGUGAAAUGCGUAGAUAUUAGGAGGAACACCAGUGGCGAAGGCGGCUUACUGGACAGUAACUGACGUUGAGGCUCGAAAGCGUGGGGAGCAAACAGGAUUAGAUACCCUGGUAGUC
This 441-nucleotide ribosomal RNA is filed under the name uncultured bacterium. RNAcentral's name for it is "partial 16S ribosomal RNA". It matches the Rfam family "Bacterial small subunit ribosomal RNA", at positions 338 to 795 of the family's 1533-position model. The record is from RNAcentral.